GGGGGUAUAGCUCAAGCGGUAGCGCGCAUGCUUAGCAUGCAUGAGGUCUUGGGUUCAAUCCCCAGUACCUCCU
RNAcentral lists this transfer RNA (73 nucleotides) under Camelus ferus (Wild Bactrian camel). It matches the Rfam family "tRNA". Rfam says of the family: Transfer RNA (tRNA) molecules are approximately 80 nucleotides in length. Their secondary structure includes four short double-helical elements and three loops (D, anti-codon, and T loops). The record is from Rfam by way of RNAcentral. Lineage: Eukaryota; Metazoa; Chordata; Mammalia; Artiodactyla; Camelidae.